GACGAACGCUGGCGGCGUGCUUAACACAUGCAAGUCGAACGGAAAGGCCCUGCUUUUGUGGGGUGCUCGAGUGGCGAACGGGUGAGUAACACGUGAGUAACCUGCCCUUGACUUUGGGAUAACUUCAGGAAACUGGGGCUAAUACCGGAUAGGAGCUCCUGCUGCAUGGUGGGGGUUGGAAAGUUUCGGCGGUUGGGUAUGGACUCGCGGCUUAUCAGCUUGUUGGUGGGGUAGUGGCUUACCAAGGCUUUGACGGGUAGCCGGCCUGAGAGGGUGACCGGCCACAUUGGGACUGAGAGACGGCCCAGAAUCCUACGGGCGGCAGCAGUGGGGAAUAUUGCACAAUGGGCGGAAGCCUGAUGCAGCAACGCCGCGUGCGGGAUGACGGCCUUCGGGUUGUAAACCGCUUUCGCCUGUGACGAAGCGUGAGUGACGGUAAUGGGUAAAGAAGCACCGGCUAACUACGUG
This 468-nucleotide ribosomal RNA is filed under the name uncultured bacterium. Its description in RNAcentral is "partial 16S ribosomal RNA". It matches the Rfam family "Bacterial small subunit ribosomal RNA", at positions 28 to 507 of the family's 1533-position model. The record is from RNAcentral.